GAUGAACGCUGGCGGCGUGCCUAAUACAUGCAAGUCGAGCGAACGGACGAGAAGCUUGCUUCUCUGAUGUUAGCGGCGGACGGGUGAGUAACACGUGGAUAACCUACCUAUAAGACUGGGAUAACUUCGGGAAACCGGAGCUAAUACCGGAUAAUAUUUUGAACCGCAUGGUUCAAAAGUGAAAGACGGUCUUGCUGUCACUUAUAGAUGGAUCCGCGCUGCAUUAGCUAGUUGGUAAGGUAACGGCUUACCAAGGCAACGAUGCAUAGCCGACCUGAGAGGGUGAUCGGCCACACUGGAACUGAGACACGGUCCAGACUCCUACGGGAGGCAGCAGUAGGGAAUCUUCCGCAAUGGGCGAAAGCCUGACGGAGCAACGCCGCGUGAGUGAUGAAGGUCUUCGGAUCGUAAAACUCUGUUAUUAGGGAAGAACAUAUGUGUAAGUAACUGUGCACAUCUUGACGGUACCUAAUCAGAAAGCCACGGCUAACUACAUGCCAGCAGCCGCGGUAAUACGUAGGUGGCAAGCGUUAUCCGGAAUUAUUGGGCGUAAAGCGCGCGUAGGCGGUUUUUUAAGUCUGAUGUGAAAGCCCACGGCUCAACCGUGGAGGGUCAUUGGAAACUGGAAAACUUGAGUGCAGAAGAGGAAAGUGGAAUUCCAUGUGUAGCGGUGAAAUGCGCAGAGAUAUGGAGGAACACCAGUGGCGAAGGCGACUUUCUGGUCUGUAACUGACGCUGAUGUGCGAAAGCGUGGGGAUCAAACAGGAUUAGAUACCCUGGUAGUCCACGCCGUAAACGAUGAGUGCUAAGUGUUAGGGGGUUUCCGCCCCUUAGUGCUGCAGCUAACGCAUUAAGCACUCCGCCUGGGGAGUACGACCGCAAGGUUGAAACUCAAAGGAAUUGACGGGGACCCGCACAAGCGGUGGAGCAUGUGGUUUAAUUCGAAGCAACGCGAAGAACCUUACCAAAUCUUGACAUCCUUUGACAACUCUAGAGAUAGAGCUUUCCCCUUCGGGGGACAAAGUGACAGGUGGUGCAUGGUUGUCGUCAGCUCGUGUCGUGAGAUGUUGGGUUAAGUCCCGCAACGAGCGCAACCCUUAAGCUUAGUUGCCAUCAUUAAGUUGGGCACUCUAAGUUGACUGCCGGUGACAAACCGGAGGAAGGUGGGGAUGACGUCAAAUCAUCAUGCCCCUUAUGAUUUGGGCUACACACGUGCUACAAUGGACAAUACAAAGGGCAGCGAAACCGCGAGGUCAAGCAAAUCCCAUAAAGUUGUUCUCAGUUCGGAUUGUAGUCUGCAACUCGACUACAUGAAGCUGGAAUCGCUAGUAAUCGUAGAUCAGCAUGCUACGGUGAAUACGUUCCCGGGUCU
RNAcentral lists this ribosomal RNA (1372 nucleotides) under uncultured bacterium. Its description in RNAcentral is "bacterial SSU rRNA". It matches the Rfam family "Bacterial small subunit ribosomal RNA", at positions 28 to 1381 of the family's 1533-position model. The record is from RNAcentral.